RNAcentral lists this ribosomal RNA (253 nucleotides) under uncultured bacterium. RNAcentral's name for it is "partial 16S ribosomal RNA". It matches the Rfam family "Bacterial small subunit ribosomal RNA", at positions 524 to 776 of the family's 1533-position model. The record is from RNAcentral.
UACGAAGGGGGCUAGCGUUGUUCGGAAUCACUGGGCGUAAAGGGCGCGUAGGCGGCUUUAUAAGUCGGGGGUGAAAGCCUGUGGCUCAACCACAGAAUUGCCUUCGAUACUGUAGAGCUUGAGACCGGAAGAGGUUAGUGGAACUGCGAGUGUAGAGGUGAAAUUCGUAGAUAUUCGCAAGAACACCAGUGGCGAAGGCGGCUGACUGGUCCGGUUCUGACGCUGAUGCGCGAAAGCGUGGGUAGCAAACAGG